This 351-nucleotide ribosomal RNA is filed under the name Clytus sp. 1 ZHW-2013. RNAcentral describes it as "SSU rRNA". It matches the Rfam family "Eukaryotic small subunit ribosomal RNA", at positions 1175 to 1489 of the family's 1831-position model. The record is from RNAcentral. Lineage: Eukaryota; Metazoa; Arthropoda; Insecta; Coleoptera; Cerambycidae.
AGUGGAGCCUGCGGCUUAAUUUGACUCAACACGGGAAACCUCACCAGGCCCGGACACCGGAAGGAUUGACAGAUUGAGAGCUCUUUCUUGAUUCGGUGGGUGGUGGUGCAUGGCCGUUCUUAGUUGGUGGAGCGAUUUGUCUGGUUAAUUCCGAUAACGAACGAGACUCUAGCCUGCUAACUAGGCGUAUUUCGACAUCCCAAAGGCCCGCCGGUUUGGGGUUUCGGCUCCUUAUCGCGCGCGGUUUUUACUGUCGGCGUACAAACAAUUCUUCUUAGAGGGACAGGCGGCAUCUAGCCGCACGAGAUUGAGCAAUAACAGGUCUGUGAUGCCCUUAGAUGUUCUGGGCCG